Gavialis gangeticus (Gharial) is the source of this 171-nucleotide long non-coding RNA. RefSeq lists it as uncharacterized. NCBI's taxonomy places the organism in Eukaryota, Metazoa, Chordata, Crocodylia, Gavialidae. The transcript has 4 exons. The record is from RefSeq and is a predicted model, not a curated record.
GGAAACACUGUGUCCGGGCUGCGGGCUGGAGGCAGAAGGUGGCCUACAAGGCUCGUACCAUGCUGUGGUAGAAAGCUGGAAGCACCGCCCAGUUCAGAAGUGCAAGGUCCAACAGGAAGAGCUCCCAGUCAAAGCCGAGGGCCCCCACCCUCUGCAGGAACCGGCACACCA